CGCACAUUGCGCCUAAUAGUAUUCUGUUAGGCAUGCCUGUUCGAGCGUCAUUUCAACCCCCAAGCCCUACUUGCUUGACGUUGGGAAUUUACGGAGACGUAAUUCCUCAAAUAUAGUGGCGGAGCUAGGUCGUGCUCUAAGCGUAGUAACUGUACCCUCGCUUCUGUAGCCGGCCCAGGUCCUGCCGUAAAACCCCCCUAUAUUUUACUGGUUGACCUCGGAUCAGGUAGGAAUACCCGCUGAACUUAA
Molecule: unclassified non-coding RNA, 249 nt
Filed under: fungal sp.
Lineage: Eukaryota; Fungi
Description: partial contains 5.8S ribosomal RNA, internal transcribed spacer 2, and large subunit ribosomal RNA
Source: RNAcentral